Molecule: ribosomal RNA, 468 nt
Filed under: uncultured bacterium
Lineage: Bacteria
Description: partial 16S ribosomal RNA
Rfam family: Bacterial small subunit ribosomal RNA
Source: RNAcentral
GACGAACGCUGGCGGCGUGCUUAACACAUGCAAGUCGAACGGAAAGGCCCAGCUUUUGUGGGGUGCUCGAGUGGCGAACGGGUGAGUAACACGUGAGUAACCUGCCCUUGACUUUGGGAUGACUUCAGGAAACUGGGGCUAAUACCGGAUAGGAGCUCCUGCUGCAUGGUGGGGGUUGGAAAGUUUCGGCGGUUGGGGAUGGACUCGCGGCUUAUCAGCUUGUUGGUGGGGUAGUGGCUUACCAAGGCUUUGACGGGUAGCCGGCCUGAGAGGGUGACCGGCCACAUUGGGACUGAGAUACGGCCCAGACUCCUACGGGAGGCAGCAGUGGGGAAUAUUGCACAAUGGGCGGAAGCCUGAUGCAGCAACGCCGCGUGCGGGAUGACGGCCUUCGGGUUGUAAACCGCUUUCGCCUGUGACGAAGCGUGAGUGACGGUAAUGGGUAAAGAAGCACCGGCUAACUACGUG